UCAAAACAGCGGACUUCGGUCCUUGCUGCUCCCUUGUCUUUUGCGCACCGUAUUGUUUCCUCGGCGGGCUUGCCUGCCGGUUGGACAUUAUCAAAACCUUUUUGUAGUUGCAAUCAGCGUCAGAAAAACAAUAAUUAUUA
RNAcentral lists this unclassified non-coding RNA (140 nucleotides) under soil metagenome. RNAcentral's name for it is "partial internal transcribed spacer 1". The record is from RNAcentral.